RNAcentral lists this ribosomal RNA (440 nucleotides) under uncultured bacterium. RNAcentral's name for it is "partial 16S ribosomal RNA". It matches the Rfam family "Bacterial small subunit ribosomal RNA", at positions 338 to 795 of the family's 1533-position model. The record is from RNAcentral.
CCUACGGGGGGCAGCAGUAGGGAAUAUUGCUCAAUGGGGGAAACCCUGAAGCAGCAAAGCCGCGUGGAGGAUGAAGGUUUUCGGAUUGUAAACUCCUUUUGUUAGAGAAGAUAAUGACGGUAUCUAACGAAUAAGCACCGUCUAACUCCGUGCCAGCAGCCGCGGUAAUACGGGGGGUGCAAGCGUUACUCGGAAUCACUGGGCGUAAAGAGCGCGUAGGCGGGAUAGCAAGUCAGAUGUGAAAUCCUAUGGCUUAACCAUAGAACUGCAUUUGAAACUGUUAUUCUAGAGUAUGGGAGAGGUAGGUGGAAUUCUUGGUGUAGGGGUAAAAUGCGUAGAGAUCAAGAGGAAUACUCAUUGCGAAGGCGACCUGCUAGAACAUAACUGACGCUGAUGCGCGAAAGCGUGGGGAGCAAACAGGAUUAGAUACCCUUGUAGUC